This is a non-coding RNA of Caenorhabditis elegans, 221 nucleotides long. The record is from Ensembl. Lineage: Eukaryota; Metazoa; Nematoda; Chromadorea; Rhabditida; Rhabditidae.
ACGUACUUUUUGAAAAUCCCAAGUGUCCAGAAAAGGUACAAUCUGAAAAUAAAAUUUAAUAGAAUAUUUCAAAAAACAAGGUAAUCCAACCGCAAGAAAUAUUACUGGAAUGUAACAUGCAGUUAUCAUCGUCAAAAAAAAGAUUUUUGUUAAAGCCAUGAAAUCUAAUUGGCAAAUAUCGGAAUAAAACUGUGUUAGCAAACGAUAGAGCAACAGCCAUU